Molecule: unclassified non-coding RNA, 494 nt
Filed under: Hevea brasiliensis (rubber tree)
Lineage: Eukaryota; Viridiplantae; Streptophyta; Magnoliopsida; Malpighiales; Euphorbiaceae
Source: RNAcentral
GUAGGGUUUCCGUACCAGAUUAUGCCAUGAUGUGUUUCUGUAUUGUUGGUAUUUUGGUCUAUUUUUAUUGUUUUUUUAAGCUUUCACCUUGAAACUUGUUAGAUGAAUUGAUCUUUUGACACCAUUGUCCUUCCACCUUUUCUGUUCAAAAUGUGACUCAAUAUGUGGUUUGUUUCCACUAGGAAAUGGAAACCAACUCUGCUUUUGUAUUUAGUUAGCUAUGAUUGACGGCAAAAGGCCUAGGAUGUGGUUCCCUUCCAGAACUCAAGUACAUUGGUUGUUUCAUUUGGGCCCUUAUCUUCUAUUCUUAUAUUUUGUCUUGUCCCUUCAUCCCAACGGCUACAUGAACAUAUUAUAUGUAAAAGAAUGAACAAACUUUUCUCGAUCAUUUGUUUUUCUUUAACCUAGAUACAUGUAUGUAUUUAUAAACAUGUGCAUGUGUGUAUAAACAUUUCAAAUAAUAGCCACUGUAAAACUACAUCUCUUUUCUUAGU